AGCGACUGCGGAGGACAUUACA
Molecule: ribosomal RNA, 22 nt
Filed under: Lodderomyces orthopsilosis
Lineage: Eukaryota; Fungi; Ascomycota; Pichiomycetes; Serinales; Debaryomycetaceae
Description: Candida orthopsilosis partial 18S ribosomal RNA
Source: RNAcentral